UUCAAACAGAGCUAGUGCAACAAGUGCUUAUUUUCAUAAUGCAGAGCAAGAAUUCGGGAAUGGUUGAAGUUUGUGAUUUCUUGUUACCUUUCUUGAAUUAUUCAAUUGUUAGGAUGCCCUCAUCUGUUUCAGUUUCUUCAUUUAUAAGAAGUUUGGUAUCGUCACUAGCUGGACUUUGUUGUUCAAUUCCUUUAGAGGCCAUUCCUGUUAUUAAACUCCUCAUUGGGCGUUUGAAGUUCUUUCCAUGCGAUAAUGCAGAA
This 260-nucleotide unclassified non-coding RNA is filed under the name Hevea brasiliensis (rubber tree). Lineage: Eukaryota; Viridiplantae; Streptophyta; Magnoliopsida; Malpighiales; Euphorbiaceae. The record is from RNAcentral.